AAUAGAUACCCGGGUAGUCCACGCCGUAAACGAUGGAUGCUAGCUGUUAUGAGUAUCGACCCUUGUAGUAGCGAAGCUAACGCGUUAAGCAUCCCGCCUGUGGAGUACGAGCGCAAGCUUAAAACAUAAAGGAAUUGACGGGGACCCGCACAAGCGGUGGAGCGUGUUGUUUAAUUCGAUGAUAAGCGAAGAACCUUACCAAGGCUUGACAUCCCUGGAAUUUCUCCGAAAGGAGAGAGUGCCUUCGGGAAUCAGGUGACAGGUGAUGCAUGGCCGUCGUCAGCUCGUGUCGUGAGAUGUUUGGUUAAGUCCAUCAACGAGCGCAACCCUUGUAAAUAGUUGAAUUUUUCUAUUUAGACUGCCUCGGUAACGGGGAGGAAGGAGGGGAUGAUGUCAGGUCAGUAUUUCCCUUACGCCUUGGGCUACAAACACGCUACAAUGGCCGGUACAAAGGGCAGCCAACCCGCGAGGGGGAGCAAAUCCCAUCAAAACCGGUCUCAGUUCGGAUAGCAGGCUGAAAUUCGCCUGCUUGAAGCCGGAAUCGC
This 545-nucleotide ribosomal RNA is filed under the name uncultured bacterium. RNAcentral describes it as "bacterial SSU rRNA". It matches the Rfam family "Bacterial small subunit ribosomal RNA", at positions 777 to 1335 of the family's 1533-position model. The record is from RNAcentral.